Molecule: ribosomal RNA, 255 nt
Filed under: Triticum aestivum (bread wheat)
Lineage: Eukaryota; Viridiplantae; Streptophyta; Magnoliopsida; Poales; Poaceae
Description: partial small subunit ribosomal RNA
Source: RNAcentral
AUGGUGAAGACGUCCGCCGCGCCGAACAGCACGUACUGCGGCACCAUCCACCACAGGCUCAUCGGGACCGGCACCUUGGGCAGGUCCGCCAGGCCGGCGUCCGCCGCGAUCCGGAGCCGGCGCGUCUCCACGAGCGCCGCGACCACCAUCGACACGAGCGAGAGCACCAUCCCGACGCCGAUGCGCUGCAGCAUGGUGAUGCCCGAGGAGACGCCGGUGCAGCGGCGCGCCAGCGGCACGAUGGCGCGGUCGUAG